AGAGCGAACGCUGGCGGCAGGCUUAACACAUGCAAGUCGAGCGGGCGUAGCAAUACGUCAGCGGCAGACGGGUGAGUAACGCGUGGGAACAUACCUUUUGGUUCGGAACAACACAGGGAAACUUGUGCUAAUACCGGAUAAGCCCUUACGGGGAAAGAUUUAUCGCCGAAAGAUUGGCCCGCGUCUGAUUAGCUAGUUGGUGAGGUAACGGCUCACCAAGGCGACGAUCAGUAGCUGGUCUGAGAGGAUGAUCAGCCACAUUGGGACUGAGACACGGCCCAAACUCCUACGGGAGGCAGCAGUGGGAAUCUUGCGCAAUGGGCGAAAGCCUGACGCAGCAACGCCGCGUGAGUGAAGAAGGCCUUUGGGUUGUAAAGCUCUUUCGACUGAGAAGAAGGGUUUCGUUGUGAAUAAUUACGGAAUCUGACGGUAUCAGCAGAAGAAGCCCGGCUAACUUCGUGCCAGCAGCCGCGGU
This 475-nucleotide ribosomal RNA is filed under the name uncultured bacterium. RNAcentral describes it as "SSU rRNA". It matches the Rfam family "Bacterial small subunit ribosomal RNA", at positions 26 to 521 of the family's 1533-position model. The record is from RNAcentral.